RNAcentral lists this long non-coding RNA (373 nucleotides) under Vigna radiata. RNAcentral describes it as "long non-coding RNA (VRAD_LNC011226)". The record is from RNAcentral. Lineage: Eukaryota; Viridiplantae; Streptophyta; Magnoliopsida; Fabales; Fabaceae.
UGAGGAUGAAAAUGCAGCGUAGGAAAUAAGGGCUGACGCUGAUUGAGCCACGCGGCUGAAGUUGAGUGGCGUACGGUGGUGUUUAGGUGGAGGAGAGAGAAAUAUCUGAUGUUGGAGAAUGAAAGAAUGGUACGUGAGUGGAAGGUGGCUGAGGAAUCCCUUGGAUUCUUCAGCCUUGACUUUCAAGGUAGAAUUGCUCUUGAGUGAUUCUCAACAGGAAACAAUUCAAUUAUCUCAAAAGUCCUUACAAGAUGUGUUAGCAUGCAUAUAUAUAGGUCUAAAUGUACCACAUGCCUAACACAUUGUACACAUGUCUAUUACAAAUAAAAGGAAAUACUAGGCUAAGGAAAUUGGGCUUGGGCCCAAGUCAUCA